AGAGUUUGAUCCUGGCUCAGAACUAACGCUGGCGGCGUGCCUAACACAUGCAAGUCGUACGAGAAAGUUGGCUUCGGCCGGUGAGUAAAGUGGCGCACGGGUGAGUAACGCGUGGAUAAUCUACCCCUCAGUUGGGAAUAACUCAUCGAAAGGUGGGCUAAUACCGAAUAAUACUGCAUGACUUCUGUUGUGUAGUCAAAGAUGGCCUCUGCUUGCAAGCUAUCGCUGAAGGAUGAGUCCGCGUACCAUUAGCUAGUUGGUAGGGUAAUGGCCUACCAAGGCAACGAUGGUUAGCUGGUCUGAGAGGAUGAUCAGCCACACUGGAACUGAGACACGGUCCAGACUCCUACGGGAGGCAGCAGUGAGGAAUAUUGCGCAAUGGGGGCAACCCUGACGCAGCAACGCCGCGUGAGUGAGGAAGGUUUUCGGACCGUAAAGCUCUGUCGAGCGGGAAGAAAUGCAUAGUGGCUAAUAUCCAUUAUGCUUGACGGUACCGCUAAAGGAAGCACCGGCUAACUCCGUGCCAGCAGCCGCGGUAAUACGGGGGGUGCUAGCGUUGUUCGGAAUCAUUGGGCGUAAAGAGCGUGUAGGCGGCUGGAUAAGUCAGAUGUGAAAGCCCUGGGCUUAACCCAGGAAGUGCAUUUGAAACUGUUCAGCUUGAGUAAGGGAGAGGAAAGUGGAAUUCCUGGUGUAGAGGUGAAAUUCGUAGAUAUCAGGAGGAACACCGGUGGCGAAGGCGACUUUCUGGCCCUAUACUGACGCUGAGACGCGAGAGCGUGGGUAGCAAACAGGAUUAGAUACCCUGGUAGUCCACGCUGUAAACGAUGUUCACUAGGUGUUGGGGGUAUUGACCCUCUCAGUGCCGCAGCUAACGCAUUAAGUGAACCGCCUGGAGAGUACGGUCGCAAGAUUAAAACUCAAAUGAAUUGACGG
This 933-nucleotide ribosomal RNA is filed under the name uncultured bacterium. Its description in RNAcentral is "bacterial SSU rRNA". It matches the Rfam family "Bacterial small subunit ribosomal RNA", at positions 8 to 916 of the family's 1533-position model. The record is from RNAcentral.